GAUGAACGCUGGCGGCGUGCUUAAUACAUGCAAGUCGAACGAAGGUUGUAGCAAUACAUCCUUAGUGGCGAACGGGUGAGUAACGCGUUGGUGACCUGCCCCGAAGUGCGGGAUAACAGUCCGAAAGGAUUGCUAAUACCGCAUGGUUUCAUUUGGAUUAGAUGCCAGAUGAGCAAAGGCGAAAGUCGCUUCGGGAGGGGCUUGCGUCCCAUCAGCUAGUUGGUAGGGUAAUGGCCUACCAAGGCAAUGACGGGUAGGGGACCUGAGAGGGUGGCCCCCCACAAUGGAACUGAAACACGGUCCAUACACCUACGGGUGGCAGCAGUAGGGAAUAUUGGUUAAUGUGCGAAAGCGCGAACCAGCAACGCCGCGUGCACGAUGAAGGCCUUCGGGUUGUAAAGUGCUUUUUGUAGGGGAGUGAGGAAGGACAGUACCCUCAGAAUAAGUCUCGGCCAACUACGUG
RNAcentral lists this ribosomal RNA (463 nucleotides) under uncultured bacterium. RNAcentral's name for it is "bacterial SSU rRNA". It matches the Rfam family "Bacterial small subunit ribosomal RNA", at positions 28 to 507 of the family's 1533-position model. The record is from RNAcentral.